GAUGAACGCUGGCGGCGUGCCUAAUACAUGCAAGUCGAGCGAACGGACGAGAAGCUUGCUUCUCUGAUGUUAGCGGCGGACGGGUGAGUAACAUGUGGAUAACCUACCUAUAAGACUGGGAUAACUUCGGGAAACCGGAGCUAAUACCGGAUAAUAUUUUGAACCGCAUGGUUCAAAAGUGAAAGACGGUCUUGCUGUCACUUAUAGAUGGAUCCGCGCUGCAUUAGCUAGUUGGUAGGGUAACGGCUUACCAAGGCAACGAUGCAUAGCCGACCUGAGAGGGUGAUCGGCCACACUGGAACUGAGACACGGUCCAGACUCCUACGGGAGGCAGCAGUAGGGAAUCUUCCGCAAUGGGCGAAAGCCUGACGGAGCAACGCCGCGUGAGUGAUGAAGGUCUUCGGAUCGUAAAACUCUGUUAUUAGGGAAGAACAUAUGUGUAAGUAACUGUGCACAUCUUGACGGUACCUAAUCAGAAAGCCACGGCUAACUACGUG
This 497-nucleotide ribosomal RNA is filed under the name uncultured bacterium. RNAcentral's name for it is "partial 16S ribosomal RNA". It matches the Rfam family "Bacterial small subunit ribosomal RNA", at positions 28 to 507 of the family's 1533-position model. The record is from RNAcentral.